CCCUUGGCUCCAUGGGCAAGCUUCUGUCAACCCCGUCAGAUUCGGAAGGAAGCAGCGGUCCGCAGGUCUGUUUGUGUCAUGGAAUUACCUGGGGGCU
Molecule: signal recognition particle RNA, 97 nt
Filed under: Deltaproteobacteria bacterium
Lineage: Bacteria; Pseudomonadati; Myxococcota; Myxococcia
Description: signal recognition particle sRNA small type
Rfam family: Bacterial small signal recognition particle RNA
About the family: The signal recognition particle (SRP) is a universally conserved ribonucleoprotein involved in the co-translational targeting of proteins to membranes. Archaeal SRP consists of a 7S RNA and homologues of the eukaryotic SRP19 and SRP54 proteins.
Source: RNAcentral